AAGCAAAUUUAAUUUUCAAAAAUAUAUCAAAAGAUCAUUAGAAGAUGACUUUAAGGUGGUUGUGGGAAUCAUGUGCUAUUGCCAACCUUUUCUUUCUUCAUGUUCUGGACUAUGAUGACGCUCUAUUUGCUACUCAAUAUGGUUUCAACAAUGAAGAAGUCGAUCUUUGAUGAACAAACUAACAAGGCCUUAAGGAAAUUGCAAAAGAAUGCUCAAAAGAAGAAUAAGCAUCAUGAUGUGGUUCGAGCUGAAUGGGCAAAUCAUGUUAUACAGUUCUAACUUUGGUUCUGUUUAAGGUAGAUGAGUAGCACUUGGAACUGCUUUUGUGCAUUUAUAUAUAACUGAUGGAAAGUGUUGAUGAACUUAAAUUA
Molecule: long non-coding RNA, 371 nt
Organism: Rosa chinensis
Lineage: Eukaryota; Viridiplantae; Streptophyta; Magnoliopsida; Rosales; Rosaceae
Exons: 2
Source: RefSeq, a predicted model, not a curated record